Molecule: long non-coding RNA, 2254 nt
Organism: Ailuropoda melanoleuca (giant panda)
Lineage: Eukaryota; Metazoa; Chordata; Mammalia; Carnivora; Ursidae
Source: Ensembl
AUGUGCAUACCUGCCCAUGCUCUCAUUUCCUACAAUACAGUGAUCCCAAUCCCAUUUCCUUGGUUUUCAGACAUUUUCACAGUUGUGUGUUCAGGCCAGCAAGUCCAGGAAGAGCAAUACAUCUUAAGCCAUGCAGUAUCUUGGGGGCAUUGUAUCACUGAAGAAACAAGAAAAAGUAUUUUCCCAGCAAACCAGUGGGAGAGCAGCAUAUAUCUAUACAGGCGUACCUUGAAAAUACUGUGGGUUCAGUUCCAGACCACUGCAAUAAAGCAAAUAUUGCAAUAAAGCAACUCAAAUGAAUUUUUUUGGCUUCCCAGUGCAUGUAAAAGUUUUGUUUAUACUGUAGUCUAUUAAGUGUGCAGAAAUAGGUCUAAAACAUAAUGUAUGUUCCUUAAUUUAAAAAUAUUACCCAAAAAUGCUAACCAUCAUCUGAGCUUUCGGCGAGUCAUAAUCACUAAUCACAGAAAACCAUAACAAGUAUAAUAAUGAUGAAAAAGUUUGAAAUACUGAGAAUUACCAAGAUGUGACACAGACACAAGUGAGAUGCUGUUUGCUUGACACAGGGUUGCCACAAACCUUCAAUUUGUAAAAAACGUAUCUGCGAAGCACAAUAAAAUGAGGUAUGUCUGUAAAUGGAAAACACUUUCUCCAAAAAUGUUGGUUUUAAAGUUAUAUUCAAUAUUAACAUAUUUUGGGGGUGCCUGGGUGGCUCAGUCAGUUAAGCAGCUGCCUUCGGCUCAGGUCAUGAUCCCAGGAUCUGCAUCAGGCUUCCCGUUCUUCUGCCCCUCCUCCCUGCUUGUGCUCUCUCUCUAAAUCUUUUAUUUAUUUGAAAGAGAGAGAGCACAAGCAGGGAGGAGGGGCAGAGGGAGAGGGAGAAGCAGGCUCCCCACUGAGCAGGGAGCCUGAGGAUGCAGGGCUGGAUCCCAGAACCCUGGGAAUGUGACCUGAGCCGAAGGCAGCUGCUUAACCGACUGAGCCACCCAGGUGCCCCUAAAUGGAUAAAAUCUUUUUUUUUUAAAUUACAUAUUUUAACACAAAUCUCCCAAGUUGAUAUUCAUUUCAUUCAUUAGAUCACAGCACUCUGAAGUCUUUACAGGCAAGGGAAGUGAAUAAUUGAACUACUCAUCCUGAUCAUUUUGGCAAAAAGUCCAGCUGCUUCAACUUCAAUCACCCAAUAAUCUAUGCCAAGUUUAUUUAUGAUAAGGAAAAAGAGGGGGACUUUCAUCUGAAUUAUAUUAACUAUCUGUGUCAGAUUGACAGAAACCUAGUCUAGGUAUGAACUACACUGUUCACACAGCGAAGGCUUUUAAAGCCUCUUAAAUUUAUUUUUCAGUCAUUUUACUACAAGUGAGCUGUAAACACUGUUAUAAAAAUUUUUCCAGGGACACCUGGGUGGCUCAGUCGCUAAGCAUCAGCCUUCGGCUCAGGGCGUGAUCCCAGGGACCUGGGAUCCAGCCCCGCAUCGGGCUCCCUGCUCCACUGGGAGCCUGCUUCUUCCUCUCCCACUCCCCCUGCUUGUGUUCCCUCUCUCGCUGGCUGUGUCUCUCUGUCAAAUAAAUAAAUAAAAUCUUUAAAAAAUUAAAAAAAUAAAAAAUUUUCCAGUUCUGCCCUUUUAAAUGAUAAUUCGGUGUUGUAAUUACUUGUCCAUGUGUCCUUGAGUCCCCACUAGGCUCUGAGCCUUACAAGAGAAGGCAGUUGUUUUGUUUCUCAUCUCUGAAUUCUCAGAAGCAAUAAUAUGCCUGGCGCAAAAAAAAAUUUUCUAAAGAUUUUAUUUAUUUGAGAGGGAGAGAGAGAGAGAGAUCAGGAGGGGCGAAAAGGGAGGGAGAAAGAAUCUGAAGCAGACUCCACAGUGAGUGAGGAGCCGGACGUGGGGCUCGAUCCCACGACCCUGAGAUCAUGAUCUGAGCCGAAACCGGGAGUCAGAUGCUCAACCGACUGAGCCACCCAGGUGCCCCCAGCACAAAUGUUUUGUCAAUAUUGCCUACUAUAUUAACAUAUCAGUACAGUAUUGAUAUUAUUGUUGGUCCAUACUGCCUCUUACAUACUGAGAUAACAUUCUUUUCCACUUACAUUUUCACGUGUCCACCUUAAUUUUAAGUUAAUAUCACUUUUAGAGAUAUGCUUCAUAUUUUGUAGAGGUACAAUACGUUCAGAAUAGUUUUAUUGGAUUUCACGAAAUACUGUCGUUUCUAAUUGAACACUCUCAGAAGCUACACACUAUUUUCAACAUAAAAGCAAAAAUACUUUGACCACA